ACGAUGAAACCGCGAAUGGCUCAUUAAAUCAGCUAUGGUUCCUUGGAUCGUGUCUUUUACAUGGAUAACUGUGGGAAUUCUAGAGCUAAUACAUGCACCAAAGCCGUGACCGCAAGGAACGGCGCAUUUAUUAGAUCAAAACCAACCGGACUUCGGUCUGAGUUGUUUGAUGACUCUGGAUAAACUUGAGCAGAUCGCAUGGCCAUGCGCCGGCGACGUAUCCUUCAAAUGUCUGCCCUAUCAACUUACGUUGGUAGGUUACCUGCCUACCAUGGUGAUCACGGGUAACGGGGAAUCAGGGUUCGAUUCCGGAGAGGGAGCAUGAGAAACGGCUACCAGAACUACGGUUUGCAGCAGGCGCGCAAAUUACCCACUCCCGGUACGGGGAGGUAGUGACGAAAAAUAACAAUACGGGUCUUUUUAUAGGCCCCGUAAUUGGAAUGAGUACACCUUAAAACCAUUAACGAGUACCAAUUGGAGGGCAAGUCUGGUGCCAGCAGCCGCGGUAAUUCCAGCUCCAAUAGCAUAUA
This 530-nucleotide ribosomal RNA is filed under the name Boninia sp. 214385967. RNAcentral describes it as "SSU rRNA". It matches the Rfam family "Eukaryotic small subunit ribosomal RNA", at positions 78 to 603 of the family's 1831-position model. The record is from RNAcentral. Lineage: Eukaryota; Metazoa; Platyhelminthes; Polycladida; Boniniidae.